This 255-nucleotide ribosomal RNA is filed under the name uncultured bacterium. RNAcentral describes it as "partial 16S ribosomal RNA". It matches the Rfam family "Bacterial small subunit ribosomal RNA", at positions 524 to 776 of the family's 1533-position model. The record is from RNAcentral.
UACGGGGGAGCAAGCGUUAUCCGGAAUUAUUGGGCGUAAAGAGCUCGUAGGCGGUUUGUCGCGUCUGCUGUGAAAACCCGAGGCUCAACCUCGGGCCUGCAGUGGGUACGGGGCAGACUAGAGUGCGGUAGGGGAGAUUGGAAUUCCUGGUGUAGCGGUGGAAUGCGCAGAUAUCAGGAGGAACACCAAGUGGCGAAGGCAGAUCUCUGGGCCGUAACUGACGCUGGAGGAGCGAAAGCAUGGGGAGCGAACAGG